This 524-nucleotide ribosomal RNA is filed under the name uncultured bacterium. RNAcentral describes it as "partial 16S ribosomal RNA". It matches the Rfam family "Bacterial small subunit ribosomal RNA", at positions 28 to 523 of the family's 1533-position model. The record is from RNAcentral.
GACGAACGCUGGCGGCGUGCCUAAUACAUGCAAGUCGAGCGCAGGAAACUGACGGAACUCUUCGGAGGGAAGGCAGUGGAAUGAGCGGCGGACGGGUGAGUAACACGUAAGGAACCUGCCUCAAGGAUUGGGAUAACUCCGAGAAAUCGGAGCUAAUACCGGAUAGUUCAACGGACCGCAUGGUCCGCUGAUGAAAGGCGCUUCGGCGUCACCUUGAGAUGGCCUUGCGGUGCAUUAGCUAGUUGGUGGGGUAACGGCCCACCAAGGCGACGAUGGAUAGCCGAGCUGAGAGGGUGAUCGGCCACACUGGGACUGAGACACGGCCCAGACUCCUACGGGAGGCAGCAGUAGGGAAUCUUCCACAAUGGACGAGAGUCUGAUGGAGCAACGCCGCGUGAGUGAUGAAGGUUUUCGGAUGGUAAAACUCUGUUGUAAGGGAAGAACACGUACGAGAGGGAAUGCUCGUACCUUGACGGUACCUUACGAGAAAGCCACGGCUAACCACGUGCCAGCCGCCGCAGUAA